RNAcentral lists this ribosomal RNA (179 nucleotides) under Ruellia jaliscana. Its description in RNAcentral is "5.8S ribosomal RNA". The stretch from base 2 to 149 matches the Rfam family "5.8S ribosomal RNA". Rfam says of the family: 5.8S ribosomal RNA (5.8S rRNA) is a component of the large subunit of the eukaryotic ribosome. It is transcribed by RNA polymerase I as part of the 45S precursor that also contains 18S and 28S rRNA. The record is from RNAcentral. Lineage: Eukaryota; Viridiplantae; Streptophyta; Magnoliopsida; Lamiales; Acanthaceae.
GGCAACGGAUAUCUCGGCUCUCGCAUCGAUGAAGAACGUAGCGAAAUGCGAUACUUGGUGUGAAUUGCAGAAUCCCGUGAACCAUCGAGUCUUUGAACGCAAGUUGCGCCCGAAGCCUUCGGGCCGAGGGCACGCCUGCCUGGGCGUCACGCAUCGCGUCGCCCCCCCACCCCGCUCGA